UUCCCAUUCCGAACAGAGAAGUUAAGCCCGCCAGAGCCGAUGGUACUGCAGUAAAAUGUGGGAGAGUAGGUCGGUGCCAACU
RNAcentral lists this ribosomal RNA (82 nucleotides) under Mucilaginibacter sp. The record is from RNAcentral. Lineage: Bacteria; Pseudomonadati; Bacteroidota; Sphingobacteriia; Sphingobacteriales; Sphingobacteriaceae.